Syngnathoides biaculeatus (alligator pipefish) is the source of this 704-nucleotide long non-coding RNA. RefSeq lists it as uncharacterized. Lineage: Eukaryota; Metazoa; Chordata; Actinopteri; Syngnathiformes; Syngnathidae. The transcript has 4 exons. The record is from RefSeq and is a predicted model, not a curated record.
CCCACGCCUGUUCAUUGACCACCCUCGUAAGCCCAUUCGUACUGGUACUACGAAUUGUUUGGACUGUCUACCUGAUCUCAGACCUCGGACCGAAUAAAGGUUUCCUCUGUACUGUCUGCUGUCUCUGGAGUCGUGCAUUUGGGUCCAACCUUGAGCCCCGCAUCGUGACACCAGUGUGCCAGACGGAUUCACCCUCAUCCGUAGACGUGGAUUUCUGAGUAACAGAUGAAUAGAGAUGAUAGGGCAGAAUUUGGGGUUAUCGAACAAAAACAAUAAAAGGAGCAUGAUGGAGGUCAUUCAUUAUCUGCGUGUCUGCUGCGACAAGUAUCUUCCUCAGCAGUUUAAACAAGGCCCACCACAGCAGUGUGGGAUGAUUCAAAGUGGGCUUGAGCUGUUAUACAUCUUCAUGAAAACAUACACACACCGAUGUUGGGGUACUACCUUUUCUGAAGCUAAUUGAGGUUAAUAAAUGUAUAUGGUGAAAACGGCAUACACACAUAAGGAACGAAAACACAAAGACAAGCGAGCGGAAGUUGGUCACGCUAAUAGGUGGAGGCCACCGCAACCGAAUUCGACGCCGCAACAAAACCUUCUGGAGGAGCACACACAAGAGUGCCGACAGAUCACACACUCACUUCUUGGCCUGAAUACUGACAGCCAAAGACAAAUAGGAAGAUGACAUCACCUCCACUCAGAUAAGCGGA